Molecule: long non-coding RNA, 979 nt
Organism: Brassica oleracea var. oleracea
Lineage: Eukaryota; Viridiplantae; Streptophyta; Magnoliopsida; Brassicales; Brassicaceae
Exons: 4
Source: RefSeq, a predicted model, not a curated record
UUUUAAACAAAAACAAAAUGUUUUUAUUUUACUAACGAUGAACUGUUUUGUAAAGUUUGUUUUCACUGGAAUUUUUUUUAAAAAAAAAUUUCAAACUUGGGGAAAAUUUCUAUAUUAUUUGGUUGAUAAUGAAAACUUAAUGUGUAAUUUGUGAAAAGUAUUAGGAGUUACAUCCGGUCAGUGAUAGUUAGAGAUUGUAUAUUUCUAACAUCCGGUUAGCGAUUGUAUAUUUCUUUUGUCUUGGCACUUAUGAGCAUUUAGUUCUUCUUAAUCAAUCUCCUAAUGAAGCAAUUUUUCCUCUUGUUUUGUGCGUAGAUUCUUUCUUACUUGCUUUUAUGUUUUUGUUUCCUUUGAUCCUUUUGCUUGUUUUAACUUUCUUCUUGUAUUUGUUUCUUUUAUUGGCUAAGAGACAAAUAUGCUAGUGGAAAGGCGAAUGAUGUUAAUAAUGCAAAGAAGAUCAAAGCUUAUAUGGACAAAGUCUACACGGAGAGAAAUCUGCUAGUGGAAAAGCGAAUGAUGUUAAUAAUAUAAAGAGGAUCAAAGCUUAUAUGGACAAGGUUGAGCUAUAGAGCAUUCAAACAUAUGUGUUGAUAAGUCUGUGUUGGAUGAGAGAUGGUUGAGCUAUAGAGCAUUCAAACAUAUGUGUUGAUAAGUCUGUGUUGGAUGAGAGAUGGUUGAGCUAUAGAGCAUUCAAACAUAUGUGUUGAUAAGUCUGUGUUGGAUGAGCAUCUCUCAUCCCCUCUGCUUCCGAGACCAUCAACCAUCUUCUUCAGCAAGAUGAAAGGUAACACUAUUACCGCUAUCUUGCAUAAGAAGCCACUGAACACAGUCUUUGAAAGCCUAUGAGAUUGUCACUACUGCUGCUGAGGCUAAACUUCCUCCUACACAUCCUGUCAGAUUGGGGUUGGCCUUGAACUUCUCUGUCCUCUACUACGAGAUUAUGAGCUCACCUUAAAGGUUUUUAGAGAUUGUUUAGUUA